UCAGCGUGCAGCAGCGCGGAGGAGGAGCGUUAACGGUGCCGGCCGGGACCGGUCAGCAGGGCGGACAUGGCGGCACACAGCUCUGUGUAUCACUGCUAGACUGGAAACGCUUUUAGUUAGCUUUUACAGUAAAUUUAAUUUGAUAAAAGAAUUUCACUUGGAGUCAUGGACGAGCAGUGUUUGUUUUUAUUACUUCCUGCGCGGAGAUGCUGCUGGCGUUUUGGUGCGCAAAGCUGUGACUGUCUCUGUGGGUGAGGCUGCAAACUUUCCAGGCAGAGCUCCAAACCAGGGCGGCUAUUUCACGGGAAUGGAGUUUCAGCGCCUCCACCCAGAUUAGAGCCCUGCUGGUGUCCUCAGUGUCCGGCUCCUCUGCUCACUCUCCCCCGGCUGUAAGAUGUUUCAGCUCCACAACGCAGGAAGGACCAAAGUAUCUACAGCAGGCAUGAUCAGCACCAGACGAACACCACAGCAGCCAGAGAUGAACUAACUGCACAUUAAACUGGAUUCACUGCAAUGUUUAGUGGAAGAUUUUGUGGAUACAGUAUCAAGAUAGAGCAGGCUCCUUCAAGUUUAUAUUGUGGGUUUCCAUUAUGAUCUUUAAACUUUUGAUAAUUUAGCACUUUUUAAAGACGAAAUUAUCACAAGCAAUUGAAUUAUCAAAGAAAUGAAUUAAUUGCUUGAGUCCUAUUGUAAUUUUGUAUCAUUUUCUGUAUAAUUUAGCUAUAUGGUACGUUGGCUCAACACUAUUUGGACAACUGUUUUUUAAAAAUAGUGGACGCACAAUGUUACAAAACAAUCCAAGUAUAAGCUGUAACUGUCUUGAUGUCUCAUGUUGUUUUCCUCCUGAGCUGUUCAGGUUCUACAGCAGGACUUAAAACCUGACUUCACCAAUGAAGGAAAUAAA
Molecule: long non-coding RNA, 904 nt
Organism: Epinephelus fuscoguttatus (brown-marbled grouper)
Lineage: Eukaryota; Metazoa; Chordata; Actinopteri; Perciformes; Serranidae
Exons: 4
Source: RefSeq, a predicted model, not a curated record